ACACAUAUUCUCUUUUUGUGCUACACGGCUGCUGCCAGGGGGUGUGGGAGGGGUGGCAUUGGCAGUUCAAGACUGUCUUUCCUAUCCUCUUCAGUGCCUCUUUCAAUGAUAUGAAGUUCAAGCCAGGCUCCAAGCUUGAUAUAGAAGACUAUCAUAUGAACCAGAAAGGGUAACUGAAACCAAAGAAAUGACUCCAGUAUCAAGCUAAAGACAUGCCUUAAAGGAUGAGGAGGAGCAGAAAUCUUACCAGCAAGGCAAGAAAGAAGCCGUACGUGAACAGCCUCUGCUUUAGGCCCAGAAGGAAAAGAAGCUUACAGGAGACAAUCAGUCUUACACUCUUCCAUGGUCACAAACAAGAGGUCCCUGGAUCUACAGGUCAUCUUGCCCCUGAAAUGGCCCUGGAAAGCUAUGGCUGAAGAAUGGAGGAAAAGAUGACUUUCUCUGUUUCUUCAGACCAGGCAUCAACUGGGAUGUUGGGAUGUUGAUAAAAGGACAUCUCAUCCUUUGUUUUCUGCCUAUGCUUUCACCAUACCCAUUCCCAUGUCUGGUCAUCACAGCAUCCUUCACAGCCCUUAGCUGAAUCAUGUUGAGUACAGGAUGGUGUGAAUAUCAUGGUUUGAAUGCAACCAUGGUCUGUCAGUGUGGCUUGUUUUUUGCAGCCCACUUAGACUUAAGCCCUCUUAAUUUCAAAAUUACGUUCAUAUGUGCCAAUAAAGUUGUCCCUACAUGAACUGAAAAA
This 739-nucleotide long non-coding RNA is filed under the name Homo sapiens (human). Its description in RNAcentral is "HSALNT0350916". Lineage: Eukaryota; Metazoa; Chordata; Mammalia; Primates; Hominidae. The record is from RNAcentral.